AUCCCUGUAGCGCAAUGAACAGCGCGUUGGACUUGUAAUUCAAAGGUAGUGGGUUCGAAUCAUCCCAUCUGGGAUG
This is a non-coding RNA of Trichonephila clavipes, 76 nucleotides long. The record is from the annotation of a GenBank genome assembly. NCBI's taxonomy places the organism in Eukaryota, Metazoa, Arthropoda, Arachnida, Araneae, Nephilidae.